RNAcentral lists this ribosomal RNA (492 nucleotides) under uncultured bacterium. RNAcentral's name for it is "partial 16S ribosomal RNA". It matches the Rfam family "Bacterial small subunit ribosomal RNA", at positions 29 to 507 of the family's 1533-position model. The record is from RNAcentral.
AGUGAACGCUGGCGGUAGGCCUAACACAUGCAAGUCGAACGGCAGCACAGUAAGAGCUUGCUCUUACGGGUGGCGAGUGGCGGACGGGUGAGGAAUACAUCGGAAUCUACUUUUUCGUGGGGGAUAACGUAGGGAAACUUACGCUAAUACCGCAUACGACCUACGGGUGAAAGCAGGGGAUCUUCGGACCUUGCGCGAUUGAAUGAGCCGAUGUCGGAUUAGCUAGGUGGCGGGGUAAAGGCCCACCAAUGCGACGAUCCGUAGCUGGUCUGAGAGGAUGAUCACCCACACUGGAACUGAGACACGGACCAGACUCCUACGGGAGGCAGCAGUGGGGAAUAUUGGACAAUGGGCGCAAGCCUGAUCCAGCCAUACCGCGUGGGUGAAGAAGGCCUUCGGGUUGUAAAGCCCUUUUGUUGGGAAAGAAAAGCAGCAGGUUAAUACCCCGCUGUUCUGACGGUACCCAAAGAAUAAGCACCGGCUAACUUCGUG